This 2299-nucleotide long non-coding RNA is filed under the name Lupinus angustifolius (narrow-leaved blue lupine). RNAcentral describes it as "long non-coding RNA (LANG_LNC001846)". Lineage: Eukaryota; Viridiplantae; Streptophyta; Magnoliopsida; Fabales; Fabaceae. The record is from RNAcentral.
UCACAAAUAAGUUAAAAUAUGGAUAAAAAUAUGAUUUACCAUAUCUAAAUAGAAUUAUGUCAAUUAUAAAUGAAAAAUAAAAGAAAUAAUUAUCAAAUCCAAAUAGGAAUGAAAACAAGAUGUGUCAAGGACAGGUUUAUACUUAUCUAACUUCAGACCUAACUUUUAAAACCUAAACACAACCUGCAAAUAAUGGGGUUGAAAAUAAUAAUAUUAUUACCAAAUUCAUUAGAUAUUGGAUAACUCAAGCCGGACAGAAACUGAAAAAGUAGACAUACUUAACAAAGGUAAAAAAUAAUAAAUAAAGUAGAACCUUGUUAAUUGAUGCCAAAAAAUUGUCUUCAUUUACGCAAACCACAAUCUGUAUGAGUAACAGAAAUCCGACCAAUAAAAAAGGAAAUCACUUCUGACAGAACAAGAAAUUAACAAUAAGGGAAUAAAGAUAAUCUUCAUAUAAUUGUUUUAUAACAACAAAUACAUCAUUAGACAUAGUCUGCACAAAAAGAUGAUAAUCUCUAUUACUACUAAAGCAGUAUAUCUUAUAUGGUGUAGUUGAUAGGAUAUUUAUUAUUAUGUUUGGUAUGUGGUUCAUUAGAAUAUGAUAGUUGAUUAUUUAAAUUUAAUAUUUGAUAUUACAGUAGUAUUUCUAGAAUGUUCCAGUGUUGUGAGAUAAUGACACUUGUAUGAUCAUCAUCAUCUUAGGGUUAGUUUGGGAGUUAGAUUUUGGAGGGGAAGGAAAGGAAAGGCUUGGGAGCUAUGAAAAUCCAACUCAUAUUCAAACGCAUAUUUGUUUGGACAAGUUUCUCCUCUAUACAUAUUUUCUUCCUUCCCUUUCCAUUCAUUCCCCUCCAAAAUCCAACUCCCAAACUAACCCUUAGGGUUUCUUUAUUGUCUUUAAAUAGUGUUUUGUUCAUCCAUAAAUCAGUGAAUGAAAUAUGAACAUUAUCUUUUAGUUUUAUCCCUUUAUGGAGGAGUAGAAUCAUUAUAGCUUGAUUCCUUGAUAGGAGAAAUUUGUUCCCUAUCAAUUGGUGCUUUCAUUCUUGACAAUGCCUCCCAAAAACCCAAACAAAGAGAUUGAUGAAACCUUGCUGCAACUUUUCAGUGAUAAAUUGAAUGAAAACAAAGAACAACAAGAUGCAAGACAUAAAACAAUUAUUGAGGCACUCAUAUCCAUAACAAACAAACUCUCAUAUCUUCCCGAUGUUUAUCAUCAAAGAGUGACAAAUGAAGGAAGUAAUAUUGGGACCUUAGCUCCCACAUAAUCCCAUCUAAUCAAGCAUGAGCAUCUUGAAACAAGCAAAUAUCAACAAUUUGCAUAUGCUCCUGCCACAACUGGGUUUGAAGCUGCACCAUGGACUAUUCAGAAAAUCACAACAUAUACAAUUUAUUCUAAUCAUUCUCUCUACAAUCAGAUUACUACCACCAAACCCCACAACUACAUAUCUCAUUUUUAUUCUUUCCCACAAUGGCCAACCCAACAACCUCCCCCAAAACCACCUCCACACUUACAUUACCUACCUUCUCAACUCUACUUUUAUCAACCUUAUCAUACAUUAAAUCAACAAGCAUCUCAUAUUAUAUCCAACAUCGCUCACACCAAUCCGAAAACCAUGAACAAAAAUAAAAAAAAUCAAUAACAAUAGAAAUAAAAUUCAGCAAUCAUUGUCUCCCCGUUGUCAAUGGAUGAAGCAUCACUGACAACUACAGCAAAAUCCAUUCUGUCCACCGCCAAGCGAUGCAAAAAGAAAAGAAACUCUCCCUCGUAUGUAUAGAGGAGAAACAUAUUUGUUUGGACAUGAACACUUUUUUGAAGGAAGAAAAUUAAUUGUUGGAAGAGCAAAAAAAAGUUUGAAUAUGCGUUUUAAACCAAUUUUUGAAAAGAAAUUGGCUAGAUCUAAGAAGAAGAUGGAAGAAAAGUUGAUUUGGGAAGAGAGAAAAACUGAAGGACCACAACCUCUAUCCACAAACCUCGACAUAGAAGCAUAUUUGCCUUCAUCUAUGUUGCUCGAAUGUCUGGAAUUUUUUUAACCACUAAUGGGUUCCAAUUCCUUUCUCAAUCUAAUGUACCUCUUCCUAUAGCUGCCUUCCAUCACCAUAGUCUUCUUCAAGAAUGCUCACUGAUGCCUCUUCCUUUAGGUAGCCUUGAUGAGAUGGAAAAAUAACUUAGGUUUUUAGCACUUAGGCCACUUAUUGUUGGAUCUAAAUUUCUUCCCAGCCCUACUGCAAUUAUUGGGAGAGAAAUGUUUUGUGAUAUUGCUGAAAGUGCACACAUGGUGGUCAUUAAUGUAGAGAAGUUUUU